Molecule: long non-coding RNA, 954 nt
Organism: Ictalurus punctatus (channel catfish)
Lineage: Eukaryota; Metazoa; Chordata; Actinopteri; Siluriformes; Ictaluridae
Exons: 2
Source: RefSeq, a predicted model, not a curated record
UUAAACACGAACUGCAGUACCAGCGUUUGCAUACUGGAACAUGAUAGGCUCUUAUAUUUUAAGAUGCAAGAACACUUGCCUGUCCACAAUUCAGCCUUUUAAAUGUUCUAUGUAAGGCCCUAGAAUGAAGGCUACCAGAAAGAGGUCACCGUAGAACCCUGGACAAACAUGAGCUUCAAUGUAACUCAAGUUCACUUCCUGCAUUACAAUUUUUUACACAUUCGAGUCAAAUUAAUUCCCCUGAAAGAAAAAAAAAAACCCAACAUAUUAUAAUGUAUAUGGGAAGCAGAACGUUUGAUUUUUCCAACUACCAAAAUGUGACUCUGAACUAAUCAAUAAAAACAAUCAGAGAACAUGUGAGUCGGCAAAACGGCAGAAGCCAAUCACACAGCAAUCAGCAUGACACCACACAAUCACAAUACAAUGGUCAGAGACGAGUCAAUCAGCAUAAGCCACUCAGGAAAGACGUUUGUAAUCAGUCAGUCAGAGUUCAAAGGUCCGCUGACCCAAACACAGGCUGACACACAAACACAAACUCCCUCUAUCAGAGCUUUAUCGUCACUCCCUCCGCCUCUUCUUGGCUGUUGUCAGUGAGACGUAUUAGUCUCUCUCCCUCUCGGUCCAUGUGCGUAGUGACGCUCUGAGGCUGGCACGGUGCACAUCCUCCCCCCCUCCCGCUGCACUGUUCUCUGAGAGCAGCAGAACGAGCGAAAUCCGUGGGAGUCCAAGGGAACUUCCGAUCAGGCGGCGAUAUUAUGAAACAGUGAUUGGCCACGCCGAGUUUGGGAACAGGACGAGACCGGAGAGAAGGAGGCUCAUAUUCACCAGAGGAUGAAUUCCCUCUACUGGCAGAGCUCAUGCGGACGACCAGCCUCCAUCAUCCCAUUAGUUUCUAUUACAUUUGUGACCAUGGAGCAAGGAUUAACCGAAUUAAACCAAAUUAAUGCUGACACA